GAGAGGGGAAAGAAAAGUUGAUCAACUCUGGGGCCACCAACUUGUGAAGAUGAAAGUUGAGCCACAGUUGCAACAGCCAUCAAGGACCUGUGAUUGUUGGAACAACUUCACUCUUCAUUAAGUGCUGGGAAACUCUAUUCAAAAGAUUGUAUAGGGCUCUGAGAAGAAAUUUCCCAAGUGGAAUUUCAGAGUUGACUGGUAUUUUUUUCUGCCAGAGCAUGGUAAUUGGAUGUUGGAUCAUAGGCCUG
RNAcentral lists this long non-coding RNA (248 nucleotides) under Sorghum bicolor (sorghum). RNAcentral's name for it is "long non-coding RNA (SBIC_LNC014441)". Lineage: Eukaryota; Viridiplantae; Streptophyta; Magnoliopsida; Poales; Poaceae. The record is from RNAcentral.